CGGUUGCCGGGCGGCGGUCUGCCUGGGGCCGGUGGCCCCGGGGCCGUCGCCGGUACGGGUCCGGCGCGGCGGA
This 73-nucleotide transfer RNA is filed under the name Streptomyces roseiscleroticus. RNAcentral describes it as "tRNA-Thr". The record is from RNAcentral. Lineage: Bacteria; Bacillati; Actinomycetota; Actinomycetes; Kitasatosporales; Streptomycetaceae. RNAcentral also lists the same sequence under 1 other name.